This 253-nucleotide ribosomal RNA is filed under the name uncultured bacterium. RNAcentral's name for it is "partial 16S ribosomal RNA". It matches the Rfam family "Bacterial small subunit ribosomal RNA", at positions 524 to 776 of the family's 1533-position model. The record is from RNAcentral.
UACGAAGGGGGCUAGCGUUGUUCGGAAUUACUGGGCGUAAAGCGCACGUAGGCGGGCGAUUAAGUCAGGGGUGAAAUCCCGGGGCUCAACUCCGGAACUGCCUUUGAUACUGGUCGUCUAGAGAUCGGAAGAGGUGAGUGGAAUUCCCAGUGUAGAGGUGAAAUUCGUAGAUAUUGGGAAGAACACCAGUGGCGAAGGCGGCUUACUGGUCCGAAACUGACGCUGAGGUGCGAAAGCGUGGGGAGCAAACAGG